RNAcentral lists this ribosomal RNA (437 nucleotides) under uncultured bacterium. Its description in RNAcentral is "bacterial SSU rRNA". It matches the Rfam family "Bacterial small subunit ribosomal RNA", at positions 29 to 507 of the family's 1533-position model. The record is from RNAcentral.
AACGAACGCUGGCGGCAGGCCUAACACAUGCAAGUCGAACGCCCGUAGCAAUACGGGAGUGGCGGACGGGUGAGUAACGCGUGGGAACGUACCCUGAGGUACGGAAUAACCGAGGGAAACUUCGGCUAAUACCGUAUGAGCCCCGCAAGGGGGAAAGAUUUAUCGCCUUGGGAGCGGCCCGCGUCGGAUUAGCUAGUUGGUGGGGUAACGGCCUACCAAGGCUUCGAUCCGUAGCUGGUCUGAGAGGACGAUCAGCCACACUGGGACUGAGACACGGCCCAGACUCCUACGGGAGGCAGCAGUGGGAAUCUUGCGCAAUGGGGGCAACCCUGACGCAGCCAUGCCGCGUGAACGAUGAAGGCCCUUAGGGUUGUAAAGUUCUUUUACCCGUGACGAUGAUGACGGUAACGGGGGAAUAAGCUCCGGCUAACUUCGUG